This 72-nucleotide transfer RNA is filed under the name Candidatus Daviesbacteria bacterium. RNAcentral describes it as "tRNA-Pro". It matches the Rfam family "tRNA". From Rfam's summary of the family: Transfer RNA (tRNA) molecules are approximately 80 nucleotides in length. Lineage: Bacteria; Candidatus Daviesiibacteriota. The record is from RNAcentral.
CAGGGUGUAGUUCAUCGGCAGAACGCUGGGCUGGGGGUCCAGAUGUAGGGAGUUCAAUUCUCCCCACCCUGA